CGUAGGAUGAUCAAUGGAUUUUCUUGUUACCUUCGGAGCAAUAUUCAGAUGCAGACAUAUGAAAUAUGAAGUUAAAAGAAAUAGAACAAAUUGAGGAGAUCUACAAUACAGGUGAAAAUAGCGAGAAGAAAUGAAAGUAAAGGUUUCACUUGCAGAUUGCAUAAUAAGAACACUGCUUGAUUCGACAGUUUUUCAUUGCAUCAAAACAUGAAGAUCGAAGAUACGAAUAAGCAAACGAAACCAGAGAAUGAUCAACAAGUUUCCUCACUUAAUGGAAAUGGAAUCUUGACGACAUUCUCUGUUCACAGAAAAAAAAUUUAAGUUGAAAAUACAACAAGUAUUCAAAUAUAAAUGUGAGUUUCAUCAAAGAUGACUAUGAUUGGCUCACAAAUAAAAUGCAUUGAACCACACUUAUGUGAAAAAGACUUUAAAUAUAAAUAAAGGCUGUUUUACUCUACUCGGUGACAUACAUACAUUGAUCAUAUUUGUAUGCAUACAAAUGGAUUACAUUCAGAGCUUUAACAUGGGUCGACCCAACUGUUUAUGUGAUGAUUGCAAACAGAUUCUUGAUUACAAAUCAAAGCAAUUGUGUUUAUUACUUUACAAUACAAUUCCCAUAUUUGAUGUCAUAGCAAGAUGAAUAUGAAAUUGUUUUCAUUGAAAUAUAUUGCAUUAAUGAAUUUUAUGGAAUUCUCUUGUGGAAUUUUUAUCACAACACAGUAUUGUUUAUAUUUGCAUAAAUUUUCUUUCAAUCAUUCUAAUUUUAAACAUUUAUAUCUGCAACAGUCUAAUACUUGAGCGUAAAGGCAACGGCGAUCGACAUUUUUGUCAUACCUAAAUUAUACCAAUGUUGUCCUGACGAAUUGGUAUACAAAAAAUGGUUAUAUAUAUAUAUAUAUUAUUUCAAUAUAUAUAUAUCACUUGUGUGUUAAAUUGAAGAUUCUAACAAUAUUUAUUUACCAGUUUGUGGCAAAAACCAGAUAGUCUAUCUAUGGUUGUCAAUGCCGCCAUAACACAAACCUUUUUAUUACUUCAUAUCUUCUUAUCAACACUGCCUAUUCAACGUGAGAAAUCUUGUGACAAACCAGGCCGGCAUGGCUUUGUCUCAUCAUCUUCAACGUCAACUUCUUCAAAAACAUUACAAAAUACACUUACAUAUACAGGGGUAGGGAGGGGGUUGGGGGUUCUGGGAAAUGGUGGUGGACCCUGGGAGGGAGAGGUAAACACAGCAUUGCAAUCAUAAUUAGGCGAUUUUGGUUUUGUCAAUUCUGAUAUAAAAUAUUCAUAGAUUCCGGUAAUAGGAUGGUCAGAUAGAGGUC
Styela clava is the source of this 1319-nucleotide non-coding RNA. The record is from RefSeq and is a predicted model, not a curated record. Lineage: Eukaryota; Metazoa; Chordata; Ascidiacea; Stolidobranchia; Styelidae.